Molecule: long non-coding RNA, 463 nt
Organism: Fukomys damarensis (Damara mole-rat)
Lineage: Eukaryota; Metazoa; Chordata; Mammalia; Rodentia; Bathyergidae
Exons: 3
Source: RefSeq, a predicted model, not a curated record
CAUUACUGCGAAGAAGCAAUGUUUGCCUUCCUCAGUAUUUGUCAAACUCGCUGCUGCCGAUCCUGUGGGGCAGGCAGAGAAUGCCCUGCUGGCGAUCGGAAAGCAGACCACUUCCUCUGCAAACCUCAGAGUUGAGCGAAGUUAAUUCUACCCGGAACUUGGCAUUUUUCCUCCAGGAAGAGAACAUUCAAAGGUCGAUUACUUUCCGGACUGUCCCACUUUCAACAUAAACAUUAAAAUUCCUCAGCCAGAGAUGGUGGCGAUGUGUGCGAUCCCUGCACUCUGGGAAGCUGAGGCAGGAGGAUGGCAAGUUUGAGCCCAUCUGGUGCAACGUAGCAGCAGCCUGUCUUCACAAUAAAAAAAAAAAUGAUGACUAAAAGAGCUGCGGAUGUAGCUCAUCGGGAAGGCCCUGCUCUCAAUCCUGCAUACCAGCAAAAAUAAAAUGAAUAUAUAAAAAUAAAAA